Molecule: long non-coding RNA, 2043 nt
Organism: Parus major (Great Tit)
Lineage: Eukaryota; Metazoa; Chordata; Aves; Passeriformes; Paridae
Exons: 2
Source: RefSeq, a predicted model, not a curated record
UCUCCUCAGCUGCCUUAAAGGUAAAGCUACCCCAUGACAAUAUGGCAAAAGGAAUACACUUCCUUCUCCCUCACUGAAAUAUGUGGGAAUACUACCACAGCUUGAGAAGCAUCUGCAUUGAGAUUUGUAGCUUUACUCUUGUUCUGUGUGUGUUGGAAAGAAGGAGCAGUGGAUAGGCAAUGAGCUGUGGUGCCUGCUUGCCGUGUUUGUCACAGCAGGUCUGAGGCACAGCUGUGUCUGCAGCCCUUGCAGGGGGAGGCUGGCUGAUCAGGGUCUGUUCUGCAGCUGGAAGUGAAAGCCCACAAGAGGUUUCUUCUCUCUGCUCAGUUCCUGUAUUUAUUCAUCAAGGAAAUCCACAAUUUAGCCAGUAAUAUGCAGCAGUUUUCAAAUCUGUGGAUGACUCAUGGAUCACUCUUCCUUGUGGCCUACAAUAUCACUUUGCUAUGCUCUUUCCAGUUAAGUUGGAAAAGAGAAUCUUUAAGACUUUAUUCCUGAAUUCUGCCAACAGAGCAAUCUCCAACUGUUAGGUGUGUUGAAAAAUCAAACCUGAAUACAAUGCCAAGAGCAGAAACUUGUGUGGAAUGUCAUUAUAUGAGAAAUAAAUAAUACUUUAAGGUUUGCCUAGUGCUUUGAAAUAAGAAAUACCCACUUCACUUACAAAAAAACUUGCUAUAAUUUGUAUACAAGGUACAUAUUAAGUGAAGCCGGGGCUUUUUUGGAUGUAUUUGUAUUAAGAUUGGUGUGUUGACAUCUCUGUAAAACAUCCAUCAAGGUGUUUUCUGUAUGGGGUUUGAGAAAUCAGUCAUCAGCCUGGUCUAACCAUGAGUGCUCCUUCUGAUGAAUUGGGGUCCCUGUCUACCUGCAAAUGCUGCAGAGAAGAACACAGGAGCAAUGGUGAGAACAGGGGGAAGCAGCAAUCCCAACCCUUUGUCUGUGUAUACGUGAACAACCUGUAUACUUAAUAAAAUCUUUGCUGUGCCCUGGGGCAGCUGGUUGCUAAAUUGUAAUCAUCAGGUACAAUAUGAUGAUAAAGCUGUAUGUGCCCUUGAUUUUAUUGCAGAUCUUUACUGUCACACUUGUGUGCUGAUUGAGUGCAUAGUUUUUAUCUCAAGACACAAAAUUUCCCAUGCUUUGCAUAUUUUAUUUGUGAAAACAUACCGUUUUUGGUCCACUGUGAUACUCCACACAUUGAGCUGUGUAUCCUGCUGGUUUAGCUACGCUGCUCAUUAGCAACCAUGAAUGAGUAAACAAGAAUUUCAUCAGCAAUUGAGGGGUGCACAUUACUUCCAUUGCAAUGCUAAUUUUAUUUUGUAAACACAGUGCUUUUUAAAAUUCACUUUUAACACAGAAUAUUCUUUCAGAGCUUACGUUGGAUCAGGAAGAUUACAUUUAAAAACAAGUAAUGAAAUUUAAGAGGAUAUAUUUGUGCUAUCCUAAGUUUGAAUAAAGCAAUUAAUCAGUCAUUACUGAAUAUCUUGCUACUUUCUUGUAGUUUUUGUGUAAAUUGGUCUUUACUGGAGUAAAUGCACACUGCUAAAUAUUUGUGUGUUAUCAAUUAAUACAGUUCUUUUCUUUCACUGAAAUUAGUUAUUCCUGGAACCAGGCUUAGGCAUUAUUGCCUUACUGAACUUGUAACAACACUGCAUUUUGACUGCUUCCAUUGAGUUUAAAUAUAUGUUUCUAGUCUAUGUCAAAAUCUUAAUUUCAUUGUUCAGAUUUUAAUCUGUUUUUUUUUAAAGUAACUGCAGUUCAGCAUAACUUUUCAAUAAAUAGCCUUACAGUUUCUUCUUCCAAAGGUUCCUAUUCCAUAGUGGAUUUCAUCUUUGUUGGCCAGCUAAGAUUCAAAUGUGAAAAAUGAAACAAAAUUGUGAAAAGAAGCUGAACUUGGGUAUCAGAAAUUUGUUCCUUGUCAAGCUUUCAGUUUUACUGAACCCUUUGCCCAAUUAAUUGUUUCAGUAUCUGAGGCAUCUCUAGAUCAAGAGUGAAGCAGCUCUAAUUCUCUCCUUGUUAACAAUAAAAUGUUUUAUCUUGACUCAAAGUAAA